AGAGUUUGAUCAUGGCUCAGAUUGAACGCUGGCGGCAUGCCUUACACAUGCAAGUCGGACGGCAGCGCGGGGGCAACCCUGGCGGCGAGUGGCGAACGGGUGAGUAAUACAUCGGAACGUGUCCUGGAGUGGGGGAUAGCCCGGCGAAAGCCGGAUUAAUACCGCAUACGAUCCUUGGAUGAAAGCGGGGGACCGAAAGGCCUCGCGCUCAAGGAGCGGCCGAUGGCGGAUUAGCUAGUUGGUGGGGUAAAGGCCCACCAAGGCGACGAUCCGUAGCUGGUCUGAGAGGACGACCAGCCACACUGGGACUGAGACACGGCCCAGACUCCUACGGGAGGCAGCAGUGGGGAAUUUUGGACAAUGGGGGCAACCCUGAUCCAGCAAUGCCGCGUGUGUGAAGAAGGCCUUCGGGUUGUAAAGCACUUUUGUCCGGAAAGAAAACUUUCGCCCGAAUACGGUGGAGGGAUGACGGUACCGGAAGAAUAAGCACCGGCUAACUACGUGCCAGCAGCCGCGGUAAUACGUAGGGUGCGAGCGUUAAUCGGAAUUACUGGGCGUAAAGCGUGCGCAGGCGGUGAUGUAAGACCGAUGUGAAAUCCCCGGGCUUAACCUGGGAACUGCAUUGGUGACUGCAUUGCUGGAGUAUGGCAGAGGGGGGUGGAAUUCCACGUAGCAGUGAAAUGCGUAGAGAUGUGGAGGAACACCGAUGGCGAAGGCAGCCCCCUGGGCCAAUACUGACGCUCAUGCACGAAAGCGUGGGGAGCAAACAGGAUUAGAUACCCUAGUAGUCC
RNAcentral lists this ribosomal RNA (791 nucleotides) under uncultured bacterium. RNAcentral describes it as "bacterial SSU rRNA". It matches the Rfam family "Bacterial small subunit ribosomal RNA", at positions 8 to 796 of the family's 1533-position model. The record is from RNAcentral.